UACGGAGGGUGCAAGCGUUAUUCGGAAUUACUGGGCGUAAAGGGCGCGUAGGCGGUCCAUUAAGUCAGGUGUGAAAUCCCGGGGCUUAACCCCGGAAGUGCAUUUGAUACUGGCGGACUUGAGUAUGGGAGAGGGAAGCGGAAUUCCUGGUGUAGCGGUGAAAUGCGUAGAUAUCAGGAGGAACACCGGUGGCGAAGGCGGCUUCCUGGACCAAUACUGACGCUGAGGCGCGAAGGCGUGGGUAGCAAACAGGAUUAGAUACCCUGGUAGUCCACGCGGUAAACGGUGAUCACUAGGUGUAGCGGGUAUUGACCCCUGCUGUGCCGAAGCUAACGCAUUAAGUGAUCCGCCUGGGAAGUACGGUCGCAAGAUUAAA
Molecule: ribosomal RNA, 376 nt
Filed under: uncultured bacterium
Lineage: Bacteria
Description: bacterial SSU rRNA
Rfam family: Bacterial small subunit ribosomal RNA
Source: RNAcentral